Molecule: unclassified non-coding RNA, 223 nt
Filed under: plant metagenome
Description: partial contains small subunit ribosomal RNA, internal transcribed spacer 1, and 5.8S ribosomal RNA
Source: RNAcentral
UCUCCGUUGGUGAACCGGCGGAGGGAUCAUUACCGAGUUAUCAACUCCCAAACCCCUGUGAACAUACCCAACGUUGCUUCGGCGGGACCGCCCCGGCGCCCUCGGCGUCCCGGAACCAGGCGCCCGCCGGAGGACCCAAACUCUUGUUUAAACCAUAGUGGCAUAUUCUGAGUCUCACAAGAAAAAUGAAUCAAAACUUUCAACAACGGAUCUCUUGGCUCUG